Triticum aestivum (bread wheat) is the source of this 135-nucleotide non-coding RNA. NCBI's taxonomy places the organism in Eukaryota, Viridiplantae, Streptophyta, Magnoliopsida, Poales, Poaceae. The record is from Rfam.
GAGGUACUCUCUCUGUCCUAAAAUUCUUGUCUUAGAUUUGUCUACAUACGGAUGUAUCUACUCAUAUUUUAGUGUUAGAUACAUCCGUAUCUAGAUAAAUUUAAGAUAAUAAUUUUUGGACGGAAGAAGUAUAUA